CAGGACGAACGCUGGCGGCGUGCCUAACACAUGCAAGUCGAGCGAGGAGAUUCCUCGGGAUGAUCCUAGCGGCGGACGGGUGAGUAACACGUGGGCAACCUGCCUCAUAGAGAGGAAUAGGCUUCCGAAAGGGAGAUUAAUACCUCAUAACAUUGCAGUUUCGCAUGGAACAGCAAUUAAAGGAGUAAUCCGCUAUGAGAUGGGGCCCGCGGCGCAUUAGCUAGUUGGUGAGGUAACGGCUCACCAAGGCGACGAUGCGUAGCCGACCUGAGAGGGUGAUCGGCCACAUUGGGACUGAGACACGGCCCAGACUCCUACGGGAGGCAGCAGUGGGGAAUAUUGCACAAUGGGGGAAACCCUGAUGCAAGCAACGCCGCGUGAGUGAUGACGGCCUUCGGGUUGUAAAGCUCUGUCUUCAGGGACGAUAAUGACGGUACCUGAGGAGGAAGCCACGGCUAACUACGUGCCAGCCGCAGC
Molecule: ribosomal RNA, 477 nt
Filed under: uncultured bacterium
Lineage: Bacteria
Description: bacterial SSU rRNA
Rfam family: Bacterial small subunit ribosomal RNA
Source: RNAcentral